UGGCUUAGAGGUUAAGAGCACUGGCUGUUCUUCCAGAGGACCUGGGUUCAAUUCCCAG
This 58-nucleotide transfer RNA is filed under the name Mus musculus (house mouse). Lineage: Eukaryota; Metazoa; Chordata; Mammalia; Rodentia; Muridae. The record is from Rfam by way of RNAcentral.